Long non-coding RNA from Pomacea canaliculata, 756 nucleotides. RefSeq lists it as uncharacterized. The transcript has 3 exons. The record is from RefSeq and is a predicted model, not a curated record. NCBI's taxonomy places the organism in Eukaryota, Metazoa, Mollusca, Gastropoda, Architaenioglossa, Ampullariidae.
UUCUACGCAAAGGGCUUAAUAACAAGAGAGGAGUUCCAGUCAUGCACUAUUGCGAUGGCACUUCGGACUUUACACGAAAUAAAAGCUCCUUUUGAGAAUGCCAUUCUCCCAGUCCCACAAGCUGGUCUGAAUUUGUUGAAGGAACCUGAAGAGUUGUUCACCGCUUGUUAUGCCAAAACAAUGUGGCGACAAAACCUGAAGACACAUGGCGUUGACGACAAAAAUCUGUUUGCUCAUCUCCUGGCAAAGGGGUUUAGUGUUGUGCUAAAUGGAACCUUGCGGAACACCUUCAGGAACACACGCAGUGCUGAGGAACAGUCGACAAUAUUAAAAGACUACUACGAAUGUUUCACUCAAAAACUGGCAUUGGCGAACCCAGAGGCUUUCCAGAGUGAACUUUUUGUCAGCAGACUUGUUGCUCAGAAGUUAAAAUAGUUUCUUUGCUGUACUCAUGUCUAGCAGACCAACCGAUGUCUGCUAUAUACUGCUUUUGUAAUAAAUCAAAUGUGUAAUACCCUGUCAGUGUCUUUUGUGGAAUUCUUGCAUUGUUCUUUCUUGUUUGUGUAGUGAUCUUUUUGUUGAUGUUUUGCAUUUUUUAUUUUAGCUUUGCUUUAUUUAUCUUUCUGUACAUGGAUAACGCGGUAUUGACAUUUUAUUGUCACUCAAGAAACAAACGAAUUCAAACUUCUUGUUGUUGUUGUUGUUGUUGUUGUUGUUGUUGUUGUUGUUGUUGUUGUUGUUGUUGUUGUUGUUGUU